UAGGGAAUAUUGCGCAAUGGGCGAAAGCCUGACGCAGCCAUGCCGCGUGUGUGAAGAAGGCCCUAGGGUUGUAAAGCACUUUCAAUUGUGAGGAAAGGUUGACGGUUAAUACCCGUCAGCUGUGACGUUAACUUUAGAAGAAGCACCGGCUAACUCCGUG
RNAcentral lists this ribosomal RNA (160 nucleotides) under uncultured Gammaproteobacteria bacterium. Its description in RNAcentral is "partial 16S ribosomal RNA". It matches the Rfam family "Bacterial small subunit ribosomal RNA", at positions 355 to 507 of the family's 1533-position model. The record is from RNAcentral. Lineage: Bacteria; Pseudomonadati; Pseudomonadota; Gammaproteobacteria.